Molecule: ribosomal RNA, 432 nt
Filed under: uncultured bacterium
Lineage: Bacteria
Description: partial 16S ribosomal RNA
Rfam family: Bacterial small subunit ribosomal RNA
Source: RNAcentral
AACGAACGCUGGCGGCAUGCCUAACACAUGCAAGUCGAACGAGACCUUCGGGUCUAGUGGCGCACGGGUGCGUAACGCGUGGGAACCUGCCCUUAGGUUCGGAAUAACUCCCCGAAAGGGGUGCUAAUACCGGAUAAUGUCUUCGGACCAAAGAUUUAUCGCCUUUGGAUGGGCCCGCGUUGGAUUAGCUAGUUGGUAGGGUAAAAGCCUACCAAGGCGACGAUCCAUAGCUGGUCUGAGAGGAUGAUCAGCCACACUGGGACUGAGACACGGCCCAGACUCCUACGGGAGGCAGCAGGGGGGAAUAUUGGACAAUGGGCGAAAGCCUGAUCCAGCAAUGCCGCGUGAGUGAUGAAGGCCUUAGGGUUGUAAAGCUCUUUUACCCGGGAUGAUAAUGACAGUACCGGGAGAAUAAGCCCCGGCUAACUCCGU